RNAcentral lists this ribosomal RNA (332 nucleotides) under Alopecion guttatum (spotted house snake). RNAcentral's name for it is "partial 12S ribosomal RNA". Lineage: Eukaryota; Metazoa; Chordata; Lepidosauria; Squamata; Lamprophiidae. The record is from RNAcentral.
UAAAAACUUAAAAUUUAAAAGACUUGACGGUACUUCACACCAACCUAGAGGAGCCUGUCUAAUAACCGAUAACCCACGAUUAACCCAACCUUUUCUAGCCUAACAGUCUAUAUACCGCCGUCGCCAGCUUACCUUAUGAAAGAAACAAAGUGAGCCAAACAGCCUUAUACUCUAAUACGACAGGUCGAGGUGUAACUAAUGAAAAGGGCCAGGAUGGGCUACAUUUUCUAACCCAGAAAAAACGAACAGACUGUGAAAACAGAAACUGAAGGCGGAUUUAGCAGUAAGAUAAGAACAAAAUACUUAACCGAAACCAAAGCAAUGAAGUACGC